RNAcentral lists this ribosomal RNA (496 nucleotides) under uncultured bacterium. RNAcentral's name for it is "partial 16S ribosomal RNA". It matches the Rfam family "Bacterial small subunit ribosomal RNA", at positions 29 to 507 of the family's 1533-position model. The record is from RNAcentral.
AUGAACGCUGGCGGCGUGCCUAAUACAUGCAAGUCGAGCGAACAGACGAGGAGCUUGCUCCUCUGACGUUAGCGGCGGCCGGGUGAGUAACACGUGGAUAACCUACCUAUAAGACUGGGAUAACUUCGGGAAACCGGAGCUAAUACCGGAUAAUAUAUUGAACCGCAUGGUUCAAUAGUGAAAGACGGUUUUGCUGUCACUUAUAGAUGGAUCCGCGCCGCAUUAGCUAGUUGGUAAGGUAACGGCUUACCAAGGCAACGAUGCGUAGCCGACCUGAGAGGGUGAUCGGCCGCACUGGAACUGAGACGCGGUCCAGACUCCUACGGGAGGCAGCAGUAGGGAAUCUUCCGCAAAGGGCGAAAGCCUGACGGAGCAACGCCGCGUGAGUGAUGAAGGUCUUCGGAUCGUAAAACUCUGUUAUUAGGGAAGAACAAAUGUGUAAGUAACUAUGCACGUCUUGACGGUACCUAAUCAGAAAGCCACGGCUAACUACGUG